Molecule: non-coding RNA, 21 nt
Filed under: Caenorhabditis elegans
Lineage: Eukaryota; Metazoa; Nematoda; Chromadorea; Rhabditida; Rhabditidae
Source: RNAcentral
UGGUGGGUCUGACUUGAUAUU